This 383-nucleotide ribosomal RNA is filed under the name uncultured bacterium. Its description in RNAcentral is "bacterial SSU rRNA". It matches the Rfam family "Bacterial small subunit ribosomal RNA", at positions 28 to 414 of the family's 1533-position model. The record is from RNAcentral.
GACGAACGCUGGCGGCGUGCUUAACACAUGCAAGUCGAGCGGUAAGGCCCUUUUGGGGGUACACGAGCGGCGAACGGGUGAGUAACACGUGGGUGACCUGCCCUCAGCUCUGGGAUAAGCCUGGGAAACUGGGUCUAAUACUGGAUAUGACCUUUCCUCGCAUGGGGUUGGGUGGAAAGUUUUUCGGCUGGGGAUGGGCCCGCGGCCUAUCAGCUUGUUGGUGGGGUGAUGGCCUACCAAGGCGACGACGGGUAGCCGGCCUGAGAGGGCGACCGGCCACACUGGGACUGAGACACGGCCCAGACUCCUACGGGUGGCAGCAGUGGGGAAUAUUGCGCAAUGGGCGGAAGCCUGACGCAGCGACGCCGCGUGGGGGAUGACGG